UAUAAACGCAGAGUCGGAUGCAUGGAUCACUCAUCUUCUAGCAUCUGCAGCUUCAGCCACAGAACGACCCAACCCACAAAAAAACCAAAAUGAAGACCUACGUUGCAGUUCUCCUUGUUGUCGUGGCCAUGCUCGGCCUAGCUGCUGCCGCUGGCGGCUACGGAGGAUACGGCGGAUACGGGGGAUACGGCGGAUACAGGGGUGGAUACGGGG
This is a long non-coding RNA of Priapulus caudatus, 213 nucleotides long. RefSeq lists it as uncharacterized. The transcript is spliced from 4 exons. The record is from RefSeq and is a predicted model, not a curated record. Lineage: Eukaryota; Metazoa; Priapulida; Priapulimorpha; Priapulimorphida; Priapulidae.